Molecule: non-coding RNA, 22 nt
Filed under: Rattus norvegicus (Norway rat)
Lineage: Eukaryota; Metazoa; Chordata; Mammalia; Rodentia; Muridae
Source: RNAcentral
GAUUGAGAGUGCACGAAUGUGU